CUAGUCCAACAUAAUCAUAACUAAUUCUCCGUGCCAAAAAAACCUCGGCAAGGUCUUCGCUUUGGACAUGAUAACUAAAUUUUGAGGAAGCUUCUACACCAAACUCGAAGAAAUCGUUAGAGAGUAUUUUCAGCAUGGACAACAAUAAUUGGAGAUCUAUUCAAGGUGGUGAACCCAUGAUAGACAAUACUGAUUGGAGAACUAAGCUGCAACAUGAUUCGAGACAACGAAUUGUCAA
Molecule: long non-coding RNA, 238 nt
Organism: Humulus lupulus (European hop)
Lineage: Eukaryota; Viridiplantae; Streptophyta; Magnoliopsida; Rosales; Cannabaceae
Exons: 3
Source: RefSeq, a predicted model, not a curated record